GAAAUAAAAUGAAUAAAAGUAAGCUUCUAACUUAACUUUUUAGCGGUUUAACUCCGUUAUUAUUUCU
Molecule: transfer RNA, 67 nt
Filed under: Psephenidae sp. BMNH 842687
Lineage: Eukaryota; Metazoa; Arthropoda; Insecta; Coleoptera; Psephenidae
Description: tRNA-Ser
Source: RNAcentral